AUCGCUUCUCGGCCUUUUGGCUAAGAUCAAGUGUAGUAUCUGUUUUUAUCAGUUUAAUAGUGCUGUAGUGAACAUAGGGGUGCAUGUAUCUUUUAGAAUUAAUGUUUUUGUUUCCUUUGGAUAAAUUCCA
This is a small nuclear RNA of 130 nucleotides. Its record names the gene U2. It matches the Rfam family "U2 spliceosomal RNA". From Rfam's summary of the family: U2 is a small nuclear RNA (snRNA) component of the spliceosome (involved in pre-mRNA splicing). Complementary binding between U2 snRNA (in an area lying towards the 5' end but 3' to hairpin I) and the branchpoint sequence (BPS) of the intron results the bulging out of an unpaired adenosine, on the BPS, which initiates a nucleophilic attack at the intronic 5' splice site, thus starting the first of two transesterification reactions that mediate splicing. The record is from Ensembl.